AUUCUGUAACCAGUCUCUAGUCUCUAUUUGAGGCAAAAUCUCAAUUUGUGACUAGUUACUAUUCACUAAACAGUCUCUAGCGUUAGUCUCAAAAUAUUGAGAGCUGGUAAUUAGCAGGCCACAAAACUAAAAAGAACUAUUGUCUGCCAUUUUGAAUAUACUGAAUAGAGAUCAUCAUAGAUAUUCAUCGAUUGUCGUUUCUUUAUAUUUUGUAAGCAACUCAAACACGAAAAGGUUAGAAAUAAAUCAAUUUUUUAUAAAUUUCGUAAAUAUUAUGAAACAAAGUCAACAUAUAUUUUUAUUUUUAUUGACAAUUAUGUUUUUUGACUAUGUUAUAGAAAAUUUAAUAUUUGUUAUCGACAUUUUUAUUAUCAUUCAAGUGUAAAAACAUCUCUGAAUAAUGAAAUGUAAUAGGUUUUGUGACUGUCACUUACAGAAUAGCAAAAUUGUCUCAAGUCUCAAAAAUUGUCUCUAACUUAAAAUCUCAAAUUUGGAGACUUGAGACUGUAUCACAGUACAGAAUCGCACGGUUAGAGAGAGCAUCUUGGACAGUGAUUCAAAUGCCCAAUGCGAUACGAUAAGCAGUCGAUACUUUGUAUUGUUUAUGCAUCACUAACAGUGCUGUUCACCUUUGACUUUUGUUCUCUUUAUGCAAUAGUUGGCAUUACUGUCAAAAAUGCCAAAGUAGGAAAGAGCUAAAUAAAGGAAAUAAUGAUUAUUUGUUCGAUAAAACCGUGUGUUUUGAAGAAACCAGAACCUUUUACUUGAAGUGAUUGAUGGGACGCACAUCCAGUUAAUACAACCAUCACGGAAUGAACAUUUAUUGUUUAAUCGUAAAAUAAAACACCGCAUAAAUGCAAUGGUGAUAUGUGAUCACAAAAUGCAAAUAAGGGCAGUCAAUGGUAAAUUUGGAGGCACGUCGCAUGACUCCCACUUAUGGAACCUCUCAGGAGAACGUGAAUGUUUGAGGACAAACUAACCAAGAUAAAAAUUACGGACAUAUGUACAUGUCUACAUUAUCUGCACAUAUAUAUACAAAAUAUUGAUAUUUUUUUUUCAGCAGCGCUUAUGUAUGUAUAUUAUUUUGUUAUCACAGGAGACUAGGGAUAUGGUGUAUUUAUAGAGAGAUUUCCAGGUCUGUUAUCUGCAAGAGAGCUACAUUACGCGCCUGAAAAAGUCGUUAAAAUAUUGAACGUAUGCUUCGCUAUAUUACACUUGAGUCGGAAGAAUUUUUGGCACAAUUCCGAUUUCUUUGACGCCGCGAUCUGAAGGUACCGUUAGAAAGAGGAAGUUCUCCUGAUUAAAAAAUAUAAUUAUAGGAUCCGCAAACGCUUAGUUUACGGGAUAUUCGACUUCAAAGUUCAAAAAUUCCCAAAAUUCGAAAAUUUCAACAAGCUAUUUCCCCACAUUAAACACACUUUUCAGACAUUUUUUACUUUAAAUUAAUUAAAUUAAACUAUAAACAUUUAAAUACAUCCACAUUUUUCACGUUUUGUAGGUUUUUACGUAAGAAAUCUUUAUUUUAAAAUUUACUUUUUACACUCGUAGUUAUCAUCAUUUAUGUGCUAACAAUUGUAAGGGAAUGGAGCGCUGCCAUAUGAUAAUAAGCAAAUAUGAGCAAUUCGCUGAAUUUCUCUAUUUUGAUAUAAUUCCUCUUUCUUUAUUUAGCAAUCUUAGUUCUAACAAAAACAAGUGUGUCUAUAAAUUAUAUUUAAAAUUAAAAUGAGUAUAAACAAUCUUUCCAUGCA
This is a long non-coding RNA of Bactrocera dorsalis (oriental fruit fly), 1748 nucleotides long. RefSeq lists it as uncharacterized. The record is from RefSeq and is a predicted model, not a curated record. The transcript is spliced from 2 exons. Lineage: Eukaryota; Metazoa; Arthropoda; Insecta; Diptera; Tephritidae.